UCCCUGGUGGCUCAGAUGGUAAAGCAUCUGCCUACAAUGUGGAAGACCCAGGUUUAAUUCCUGGGCUGGGAA
Non-coding RNA from Bos taurus (domestic cattle), 72 nucleotides. NCBI's taxonomy places the organism in Eukaryota, Metazoa, Chordata, Mammalia, Artiodactyla, Bovidae. The record is from Rfam.